AAACCUUUUUUCUUCAUUUUUGGUCGAACUUCAUUUGUACUCAGCUUAUUUCACUUGUUCUUGUUACUUUUAAUCAGACUGGUAUAUUGAACUCAGCUCUGGAUUUUGUUCUCCUGGCUGGUCAAAUCUUUAGAAAGAGUGUCUGCAGUUAUAAAAAUGCUUCCAAAUUUGUAUACAAUUGGCAAACUGCUAUAUCUUUGUUUCUGAAAAAAAAAAAAAAAAAAAAAAACACUUUCCUGCUUGACAUGUCAAGUGCCAUUUUUUCCAAUGGCACAGGACAAUCGGUUUCAGCUAUGGUGAUCUUCUCAAAAGAUGAUGUAAAAACUUCUUAUACCCAUGAGCAAAAUCUGAAGUUGCCUCCUCAGAAUAUGAUUACAUUUGGGAUUUUUUUUAGUACACAAAAUCUGCCGCCCUGUGGUUUAGCUGCUACUGUUGUUAUUCUAGUAGUACUCUUGAGUCUGUCUAUGAGGAGUCUGAGUUCAGCCUCUGAUCAGAGAUGGCCAGAGCACUUCGAGAAUGGGGGCUGUUCAGUUAGUUUAUUAGAAAAUAAUUCACUUUAAUGCAAAGAUUUUCAUCACAUGAGAAAUAGAUGCUUUUCCCUGUUGUCUCUGGUUUGUCGGCAGUAGGCCCACAUUCACAAGGAAGUUUGGUGGGGCACGCCCUGUACCACUGCCACCUACUCAGCCCCCUCAGCGUUGCUCCAGGCCAGCCGACCCCAAGCAGACAUUUUGGGGCCUCGCUGUUUACCAUGACCCUGCACACAGAGGACGGAGCCCACCCGUGUGGCACGUUCCCCGGUGCGCUGGGCCCUGUCGGGGCUGUGACUGCAAUGCCGCUGGCCGGGCCCAUGCCAAAGAGGUCUUUGCCUUGCUGGGCGUACCCACUCCCGCUCUGCCAUGGUUCAUGUAGUAAAGCUCAACUACUUGUGGAUGAAGUGAUAGAUACCAAUGAGCCAGACCCUUGGAGAAAGGAAGACUAUGUAGAGCUUCAUCAACAAGUCCUCUGGCCCUAUGCAAGUCUACAGAAAGAUAAUGUUUUAACAUCUGAAUGUUUUAAAAGGAAGUUACACAUUUACACAUUAAAUGCUUAUCUCUGAGCUUUAAAAGUGCAGCGAUGUGUGUUAGCACACUUCUUGGAGCUCAUUACAUUUCAGAGAUAUUACUAAAAACACAGUCAACAUCUCUGAGACUUGCAUUCCUUUCUGUACAAAAGGACCUCAUUAUGAGGAGCUAGACAAUCUGCUGGAGAUCCGAAAUGGUGUAUGCGUUUUUGCAGGCAUAAACAGUUUGACAGUAAUUUCACUUCAAUGUUAUGUUAGCAGUUUGUAUCCGUUUUACUACAAUCAGACCUUUGAGAAAUGGUAUUUACAAAUCAUUUUUUGGUCAAAAGCAUUUGGCGAAAAAAGUCUCUUUACAAAGCCAGAAAUUUAUUACGUAGCACACAGCCAAAUCCAUCUGCUCUUCAGUCCCAAAUAUAUAUCUUAAUUGUAUUCAAAUUUUCUCAUUUGCACAAAAGGAGAGCAAGAACCACCUUAAAGAACUUGAACGAUCUGCUGGGGUUUGGUCCAACUCCCACUUAGGUCAAUGGGACACAUUUAAUGACUUACGCAGAGCUGUACUCCAUGUCUAGUACACAGGAUGUAACAGAACACUUUCAGAUCUUAGGAGUCAAACCAGUGUUUUCUAGAGACUUUUCUCAUCCAAGAGAGGUUUGUUCUGAGAUGGUUCAUCUAAAGGUACACAGAGAAAUGGUGCGUGGCAGAAGAACUAGCCGAAGAGCACCAGAGUCACCAAAAGCCUCAGAUGUAGCCUGAGACAGCAGAGAAAUUACCACAAUGCAGGGAAAAGAGCCAAAAGGUGAAAUUAAAUUCCAGUUUGGAUGCUUACAAGGUCCUGAACUGCACAGAUGCUUAUUCUGUACUGUGACCCUUUGCUGAUCGUAACAGUUCAUCUGCUCAGGAUAGCUAUUCUCAAAAGAUGUGAAAUAGCAAACUUUGUAUUUCCUGAUGAAGAUGUACAAUGUAAGAUUUCAUAUAACUCUAGUGAGCUGAGGUUCCUGCUCAGUUGUUUUCAUCUGUAAAGAAGAAAAUCUUUUAUACGUACUGUAGAAAAAAUAUAUUGUCUUGAUAACUUAGAAGUCUACUCUGUUUUAUAAGACAUCGAAAGCAUUGCAUAUUACCAGUGAUUGUCUAAUAUGUCAUAAAAAUAUUUUGCCAUGAUUAUUUUGCAGGUAUGAUUAUAUAUUUAUUGUGGAAAUUGGGAUCUUCCUUAAGUCUCUUUAUUAAAGGCUUCGUAGACGUUUUUAUUACAUUUUAGGGGGAAGCUAUGACCUACUCCCUUACAGCACAGUCUAAAUUCAAUAAAAGCUGAUCCCUGGAAUUCA
RNAcentral lists this long non-coding RNA (2382 nucleotides) under Anser brachyrhynchus (Pink-footed goose). Its description in RNAcentral is "lncRNA (ENSABRG00000018065.1)". The record is from RNAcentral. Lineage: Eukaryota; Metazoa; Chordata; Aves; Anseriformes; Anatidae.